RNAcentral lists this ribosomal RNA (495 nucleotides) under uncultured Rhodococcus sp. Its description in RNAcentral is "bacterial SSU rRNA". It matches the Rfam family "Bacterial small subunit ribosomal RNA", at positions 885 to 1382 of the family's 1533-position model. The record is from RNAcentral. Lineage: Bacteria; Bacillati; Actinomycetota; Actinomycetes; Mycobacteriales; Nocardiaceae.
AGCCCGCUCAGAACUUAAAGGAAUUGACGGGGGCCCGCACAAGCGGCGGAGCAUGUGGAUUAAUUCGAUGCAACGCGAAGAACCUUACCUGGGUUUGACAUACACCGGAAAACCGUAGAGAUACGGUCCCCCUUGUGGUCGGUGUACAGGUGGUGCAUGGCUGUCGUCAGCUCGUGUCGUGAGAUGUUGGGUUAAGUCCCGCAACGAGCGCAACCCUUGUCUUAUGUUGCCAGCACGUGAUGGUGGGGACUCGUAAGAGACUGCCGGGGUCAACUCGGAGGAAGGUGGGGACGACGUCAAGUCAUCAUGCCCCUUAUGUCCAGGGCUUCACACAUGCUACAAUGGCCAGUACAGAGGGCUGCGAGACCGUGAGGUGGAGCGAAUCCCUUAAAGCUGGUCUCAGUUCGGAUCGGGGUCUGCAACUCGACCCCGUGAAGUCGGAGUCGCUAGUAAUCGCAGAUCAGCAACGCUGCGGUGAAUACGUUCCCGGGGCUU